Molecule: long non-coding RNA, 684 nt
Filed under: Struthio camelus australis
Lineage: Eukaryota; Metazoa; Chordata; Aves; Struthioniformes; Struthionidae
Description: lncRNA (ENSSCUG00000015001.1)
Source: RNAcentral
CUGGUAUAAAUGAUGUUUGGAUUUGCACCAGUGGAGAACCUACUUCUGUAGCCAUCUCACUGCUGAGGAGUGGAUCAGAGGGUCAGAAGCCAAAAGAGCUGCCUGGGAAUCUGUCACCUGUAACUACUGGCAGCCCCUUCCUCUCCCAUUUUUUCCCUCAGGACCACAAUUUGCAUAUAUGCUUCCCCCAGCUCUCUCAACUGCCCCUCCAGCAAUGGGAUUUUGCCUGAUGGGAUGUGCAUCACCUUUCCUUGCAGAUGAUGAUCUCGCUUCACCCCUACUACCCUCACUGUGAGAGAGGAGGCACCAAUGUUCAAGGAAUCGUAAAAUGAGGCAGGCAGGAGCUGGCGAUGAAGGCUCCAGCCUGGGAAAAAUAAACCUGCUAGCCUGGCUAAAGCCAAACAGCACAUGGCCCAAUUAAUAGCCUCCCCACUGUUCCUUUGGGAGGGCCGGCAUUCUCGCCGCCUUUGUCUCGUUUCCUGCUUGCUUCCUCCAUGCCGCUUCCUUUGACUCGGCCCUGCGCAGCCAGGCAGAACGAGAUCCAGCAGGUGACUGACCCAUCUAGGACUGCUCCACUGCACAGACUGGCUUCAGCGGAUCUAGAGGAGCACUGGGGUGAAGACGUUCGUCAUCAAGGUGAAAAUUCAAUAAUCUUGCAUCUUUAUUAAUGCAUUGCUUGGGCUG